AAUCUAAGAAGAGGUUGCUUAAGUUAUGAGUCGUUAAGGUGAGUUCCAAUUCGGACGCUGACCCUUGAUUAAAGGAACUUAAGCCGAAAUUGUUUAAAUGAAUUGGUUUAAACAAUUGGGACUAGAUUGAACAAGUCUAGUACUGUCGCAACUUGACAGUUGCGGGGCGCUAUCGACGAU
This is a regulatory RNA element of 180 nucleotides. It matches the Rfam family "Lysine riboswitch aptamer". Rfam says of the family: Riboswitches are metabolite binding domains within certain messenger RNAs that serve as precision sensors for their corresponding targets. Allosteric rearrangement of mRNA structure is mediated by ligand binding, and this results in modulation of gene expression. The record is from Rfam.